AUGAGAACUUGCCCUUCGGGGUAGAUCUCCCACCCUCUGUUUACAUACUUUGUUGCUUUGGCAGGCCCGUCUUCGGACCGCCGGCUUCGGCUGGCCCGUGCUUGCCAGGGAACCUAAAACUCUGUUUGUUAAUGCAGUCUGAGUACUAUAUAAUAGUUA
Molecule: unclassified non-coding RNA, 159 nt
Filed under: uncultured Pseudeurotium
Lineage: Eukaryota; Fungi; Ascomycota; Leotiomycetes; Thelebolales; Pseudeurotiaceae
Description: sequence contains ITS1
Source: RNAcentral